RNAcentral lists this long non-coding RNA (274 nucleotides) under Volvox carteri. RNAcentral describes it as "long non-coding RNA (VCAR_LNC001226)". The record is from RNAcentral. Lineage: Eukaryota; Viridiplantae; Chlorophyta; Chlorophyceae; Chlamydomonadales; Volvocaceae.
GCGACGGCGCCGGCUCCGGCGCCGUGUACGACAAUUGCAGGACGUACGGGUUGCCGACGCCAUCCGAACCGGAGCCCCCGCCGCCGUCGCUCCCGUCCCUCUCGUCAUCACCUUCACCUCCGCCGCCGGUGUCACUGCCAGACGAUGACGGCUGUGCAAGGAAUUGUCAAGAGCCAUCAGCGGCCGACAGCAAGUACGGCACGUACGAUACACUUAACCACUUAACCAGUACAGUGUUGUUAAUCCGCAACUAAGUAUAUAAUAAUGGAUUAGG